GUUGGAAGUUGGGUGAUCGCUUGAGAAAUUGAGAGGAAAGUCCGGGCUCCAAAGGAAUAAGGUGCUGGAUAACGUCCAGCUGAGGAAACUCAAGGGAAAGUGCCACAGAAAAUAUACCGCCUCGUGAGGGGUAAGGGUGAAAUGGUGCGGUAAGAGCGCACCACAACACAAGCGAUUGGGUUGGUAAGGUAAACCCCACCAGGAGCAAGACCAAAUAGAGACGAAUGUUACUUAAGUAACAAGCAUAUUCCUUGGCUUCGUCUGGGUAGGUUGCAUGAGAGUCUUGGUAACAAGGCUCCUAGAUAGAUGGUCACCAAGUAUCGCGAGAUAUGAACAGAACCCGGCUUAUAAACUUCCAACAAAC
RNAcentral lists this RNase P RNA (364 nucleotides) under Caedimonadaceae bacterium. RNAcentral describes it as "RNase P RNA component class A". It matches the Rfam family "Bacterial RNase P class A". From Rfam's summary of the family: Ribonuclease P (RNase P) is a ubiquitous endoribonuclease, found in archaea, bacteria and eukarya as well as chloroplasts and mitochondria. Its best characterised activity is the generation of mature 5'-ends of tRNAs by cleaving the 5'-leader elements of precursor-tRNAs. The record is from RNAcentral. Lineage: Bacteria; Pseudomonadati; Pseudomonadota; Alphaproteobacteria; Holosporales; Caedimonadaceae.